AGCCAGGCCAGCGGCCGCCGAGGGUGCCCGCCCAGGCUACCCGCCCUCCCGGCCGCGGCGCGGACGGACCGACGGACGGCGCUGCGAGCAGGAGGCGUCCGGCCAUGUUCAGCCGGAGCUCCCGGAAAAGACUCUCCAGCCGCUCGGUGAGUGUCCCCCGCUCGAGCGGGGCCGAUCGCCGGGCACCUCCAGCCGGCCGCGAGCGCCCGCGCGCAGCCCCACUGCGCCCCGCGGCUGCGCACCUGUGGCCCCAGUUGACCGGACUGGGGCGGAUAGAGCGAGGCCAGCCAUGUAACGCCUGUGGUGACCAGUGCCCUGGGUUCGCCUUGCAUAAAUGGAGG
This 341-nucleotide long non-coding RNA is filed under the name Homo sapiens (human). RNAcentral's name for it is "non-protein coding lnc-PRICKLE2-1:1". The record is from RNAcentral. Lineage: Eukaryota; Metazoa; Chordata; Mammalia; Primates; Hominidae.